ACGACAAUACCUCAGUUGGUAGAGGAUCUGUCGGGUAAGUGGAAUUUUGCCGGUUGGAUUCCGGUUGGUGACGUU
Molecule: transfer RNA, 75 nt
Filed under: Fasciola hepatica (liver fluke)
Lineage: Eukaryota; Metazoa; Platyhelminthes; Trematoda; Plagiorchiida; Fasciolidae
Description: tRNA-Thr
Source: RNAcentral